CCGCCCGCCAUUGCAAGCGCGCGAUUUGGCGCUCUGACGAUGCUCAUCGCAACCUCAAAAUAUUUUUAGGGUUCUUGAGAAGAAUGGAGGAAGAAGGCGAGGGUAUAGGCGCGCCGGUGACGCGCGCGGAGUUUAUGCUCCAGCAUCUCCUCGAUAGACAGCUCUCUACUUCUGCAAGAUUAGAGCAAGUGGAAUUCAAGGGAGCUACGCAAUCUUUCUAUCGAGGCAUUCACGGGGCUGGAGGAGUCUCGACUUUGGCAGAAUUUCGCUCGCAACAAGACGAGGGGGAGAUCCAAAAGCCUGAGGAAAAGUGCAAACGCCAGAGGUAUGGUCCAGACCCGGUGUUCUUGCAAAGCCAAGAGAUGGAACGAAAGAAGCAAACUCUUUCUCGAGAGAGCUCCAUAGCUGUGAAGCAAGAAAUGGGACGCCAUGAGAAGGAGCUGGAAGUUUCUUUGAUCGAAGGAAAGCAAAGAUUGCAAGCUAUAGCACAUCUUACUGUGGAAGGUGUUUCUCUCCGAAAACCUUUGCCUGAGCUCAGCGUCGUUUGCUGUGGCACUACGCCGGAGGAACGAGCACGAAUGCAAUCUGGGAAAGAGAUUUCGAGAUCGUCAUCGGAAGUGUUUUCAUCUUCAGCUCCACCACUGCUGGAUCUGGACACCUAUCUGGAUGAAGCCACUCAGGACGCUAAAAGUACCGGGAACGAGGAAAAGAAUCCCCCCAUGGUUUCUGAAGAGAAUAUCGCCUCGAACCGGCUUUCUUUCAAGGAGUUGCAGGAAUGGUCGGAUGGAAAGUUCCGAGACCACCAGCAAGGUGUGCCUUCAAACGUUCUCUACGUCAAGAAUCUGUGCUCGGAAGUCACAGAGGAGGAUCUAGCCGCAUUGUUUCUUCGAUUUAAGAAACAACCAGACGAUCAAAUUCUUUUCCGACUAAUGCAAAAAGGACGAAUGAAGGGUCAAGCCUUUGUUACAUUCCCAGACGUAGUGGCAGCAACCCGUGCAUUGCAACUUGUGCACGGAUACAUGCUUAAAGGAAGACCGAUGAUCGUAGAAUAUGCCCGAGGCAAAAAAUAACAAGCGCGGUUAAAGUCAAAAUGAUCAUCGCAGGUACAUUGCUUUCUCAACCUUUGCUCAUCCAGUGUGAUCUUUCUUUCCAGGAGCAUUACACUGCCUCAAGCCCGAGCUGGGAAUACAAGGGAAUUCCAUCAUGGAAGGCAUUGUGGUCGGAUCCACCAAUGAACCGCAGGUUUCACACCCAAUCCUUCCACCAACAGUGCCAACUCCGCUGGAAAGAUGAAAAGAAGUUCCUCUGGAGCACAAGUCAAUGAACUGCGGCAGCGUGGACAGCGUCCCAUGGAUCUCUGGCAAUGUAUCACUGUCACUGCCAUGCCGAGACCUGAGCCGACCAGCAACCUCGACAAGAUCAGCACGAGCACUGUUGGCGACCACAGCAUGAUCGCAGAACUCGCGGUGUAGAAAACCGCCGAAACGAUGGGAAUAGCUCGCCGGCCCUCCAGGCCUCGAGCUAAGGAGAGCUCCAACGAGUGAAGAAUGGGUGUUAGAACUGGCUCCACCGAAGACCAAGAACAAUGGUUUGUCGUUUCUAGAGCCAGCACGUUUUGUAUACACCAGAAGGUGGAGGAGUCUCAUGGAUCGCCAAACCUGUGCUCGAAUCCAAUCUGACACACAGCAAGCUGGUAGUCUCCUUUUGUGGACCCCCUGGAAACCUCACCAAUAUGGCUCCCCUACAUCAAGAAAAGCGAGGGGAUUUAGAAGGUGUGGUGGUGGGAGAGAUUGAGGAGUUUUUAACUCCAUUGAAAGAGUGGACUUGGUAGUGUUGAAAAUACCAGAUUUCCAGAUGGUGUUUGA
Molecule: RNA transcript, 1865 nt
Organism: Selaginella moellendorffii
Lineage: Eukaryota; Viridiplantae; Streptophyta; Lycopodiopsida; Selaginellales; Selaginellaceae
Gene name: RNA-binding protein 41
Exons: 8
Source: RefSeq, a predicted model, not a curated record